UUUGUUUGAUCGGAUCAGGCUUUAUUGACAUCAUUAGCAUAGCUGUCAUUUAUAAAUAGGAACAUUUACAAACAUUGGUACAAAUGAUGUGUUGAUUCCAAUAAGUGAUGUCUUGCCAUGUACCUCUCUUUGCCAAACAGCAGAUGGCCUCACACACCGUCUGCCCUGGUACACCUACUGAGACCCAGCAGGGGCUGCGGACACAGACAGGAUAGCAGACAGAAAAUAUCAGUUGAUGACUCUAAGCAUUUGUGACCUUCUUAUGCAGUGCUUAUGUGCUACUUAUAACACAUGUUAUGAAACCCUUAAAAAAGUUGCAAUCCGAGAUUCAGCAAACCAAAAAACUGAGGGUUGCCAGGUGUGUGUAAUGAUUGUUGCCAGGUGUGGGUAAUGAUGGGUUGCCAGGUGUGGUGUAAUGAUGGGUUGCCAGGUGUGCGUAAUGAUGGGUUGCCAGGUGUGCGUAAUGCUGGGUUGCCAGGUGUACGUAAGGAUAGGUUGCCAAGUGUGCGUAAUGAUGGGUUGCCAGGUGUACGUAAUGAGGGUUGCCAGGUGUGCAUAAUAUGGGUUGCCAGGCGUGCAUAAUGAUGGGUUGCCAGGUGUGCAUAAUGAUGGGAACUAUGUGUGUGUAAUGAUGGGUUGCCAGGUGUACGUAAUGAGGGUUGCCAGGUGUGCAUAAGGAUGGGAACUAUGUGUGUGUAAUGAUGGGUUGCCAGGUGUACGUAAUGAUGGGUUGCCAGGUGCACGUAAUGACGGGUUGCCAGGUGUGCGUAAAGAUGGGUUGCCAGGUGUACGUAAUGAUGGGUUGCCAGGUGUGCAUAAUGAUGGGAACUAUGUGUGUGUAACGACGGGUUGCCAGGUGUGCGUAAUGAUUGGUUGCCAGGUGUAUGUAAAGAUGGGUUGCCAGGGCCAGUUGUUAGUAAACCGGCGACGUCGACCGUCGGAGCGGGAGUAAACGUGACAGACAGGCUCCAAGGAUCUCCCAUUCUUUGUAGCACUGAAUAGUUCCAUCAUCGUCCUUCUUCUGAUCCAUCUGAUCCAUCAGAGGGUGUGGAGAGAUCUUAUACAUUGCUUUCCCAACCUUAGCUACUGGACUGACCCCGACCUUGGCUACUGGACCGACCCAUACCCUGGUUACUGGACUGACCCGUAACCUGGUUGCUGGACCGACCACAAACUUAGCUACUGGACCGACCCCGACCCUGGUUAUUUCUUACAUUGUUACCCCAGGAAAUCUUGAGUCUUAUUACAUACAACUGGGAACAACUAUUGGAUAUACCAUCAAUACAACAAGGAAUACGACUUUCCCGAAGCGGAUCCUUUGUUCAGACCAUCACCCAGGGCAAUGGAUCUAAUUCCAGAAGCCGAUCCAAAACAACAGGCCGCAGAUGGGCCAGACAAAGCAGCCUCCUGGUCAGACUCCGUAGACGUUCACAUCGCCCACCGCUCCCUAGUAUACUACUUGCCAAGAAAAUUCGAGCAAGGGUUGCCUUCCAAAGAGAUAUUAGCGAUUGUAAUAUUCUCUGUUUCACAGAAACAUGGCACUCUCGGGACAUGUAGUCGGAAUCGGUUCAGCCACCGGGCUUCUCCAUGCAUCGCGCUGACAAAGAUGAACACCUCUCGGGGAAGAGGAAGGGCGGGGGUGUAUGCUUCAUGAUUAACGACUCAUGGUGUAAUCAUAACAUACAGGAACUCAAGUCCUUCUGCUCACCCAAACUAGAAUUCCUUACAAUCAAAUGCCAGCCAUUUUACCUACCAAGAUCAUUCUCAUCAGUUAUAGUCACAGCUGUUUACAGUCCCCCUCAAGCAGACAAGGCGGCCCUAAAGGAACUUCACUGGACUUUAUGUAAACAGGAAAUCAUACAUUGGGGCAAAAAAGUAUUUAGUCAGCCAACAAUUGUGCAAGUUCUCCCAUUUAAAAAGAUGAGAGAGGCCUGUAAUUUUCAUCAUAGGUAAACAGACAAAAUGAAAAAAAAAAUCCAGAAAAUCACAUUGUAGGAUUUUU
Long non-coding RNA from Oncorhynchus tshawytscha (Chinook salmon), 2002 nucleotides. Lineage: Eukaryota; Metazoa; Chordata; Actinopteri; Salmoniformes; Salmonidae. The record is from Ensembl.